Molecule: ribosomal RNA, 400 nt
Filed under: Myliobatis californica (bat eagle ray)
Lineage: Eukaryota; Metazoa; Chordata; Chondrichthyes; Myliobatiformes; Myliobatidae
Description: partial 12S ribosomal RNA
Rfam family: Bacterial small subunit ribosomal RNA
Source: RNAcentral
ACCCCACUAUGCUUAACUAUAAANNNNNNCAUUGUUAUUAAUAAACCUACCUUAAUAUCCGCCCGAGUACUACAAGCGCUAGCUUAAAACCCAAAGGACUUGGCGGUGCUCCAAAUCCACCUAGAGGAGCCUGUUCUAUAACCGAUAAUCCGCGUUCAACCUCACCACUUCUUGCCUUUAACGCCUAUAUACCGCCGUCGUCAGCUCACCCUAUGAAGGUAUAAUAGUAAGCGAAAUGACCUUCCCUCAAUACGUCAGGUCGAGGUGUAGCGAAUGAAGUGGGAAGAAAUGGGCUACAUUCUCUCNNUUAGAGUACACGAACAGAAGCAUGAAAAUCUUCUUNNAAAGGCGGAUUUAGCAGUAAGUAAAUUUUAGAACAUUAUACUGAAACCGGCCCUGG